Molecule: ribosomal RNA, 1470 nt
Filed under: metagenome
Description: bacterial SSU rRNA
Rfam family: Bacterial small subunit ribosomal RNA
Source: RNAcentral
AGAGUUUGAUCCUGGCUCAGGACGAACGCUGGCGGCACGCUUAACACAUGCAAGUCGAACGAGAGAAGAGGAGCUUGCUUUUCUGAUCUAGUGGCGGACGGGUGAGUAACACGUGAGCAAUCUGCCUUUCAGAGGGGGAUACCGAUUGGAAACGAUCGUUAAUACCGCAUAACAUAAUUGAACCGCAUGAUUUGAUUAUCAAAGAUUUAUCGCUGAAAGAUGAGCUCGCGUCUGAUUAGCUAGUUGGUAAGGUAACGGCUUACCAAGGCGACGAUCAGUAGCCGGACUGAGAGGUUGAUCGGCCACAUUGGGACUGAGACACGGCCCAGACUCCUACGGGAGGCAGCAGUGGGGAAUAUUGCACAAUGGAGGAAACUCUGAUGCAGCGAUGCCGCGUGAGGGAAGAAGGUUUUAGGAUUGUAAACCUCUGUCUUCAGGGACGAAAAAAGACGGUACCUGAGGAGGAAGCUCCGGCUAACUACGUGCCAGCAGCCGCGGUAAUACGUAGGGAGCGAGCGUUGUCCGGAAUUACUGGGUGUAAAGGGAGCGUAGGCGGGAUCGCAAGUCAGAUGUGAAAACUAUGGGCUUAACCCAUAAACUGCAUUUGAAACUGUGGUUCUUGAGUGAAGUAGAGGUAAGCGGAAUUCCUAGUGUAGCGGUGAAAUGCGUAGAUAUUAGGAGGAACAUCAGUGGCGAAGGCGGCUUACUGGGCUUUAACUGACGCUGAGGCUCGAAAGCGUGGGGAGCAAACAGGAUUAGAUACCCUGGUAGUCCACGCCGUAAACGAUGAUUACUAGGUGUGGGGGGACUGACCCCUUCCGUGCCGCAGCAAACGCAAUAAGUAAUCCACCUGGGGAGUACGACCGCAAGGUUGAAACUCAAAGGAAUUGACGGGGGCCCGCACAAGCAGUAGAGUAUGUGGAUUAAUUCGAAGCAACGCGAAGAACCUUACCAGGUCUUGACAUCGUAUGCAUAGCUCAGAGAUGAGUGAAAUCUCUUCGGAGACAUAUAGACAGGUGGUGCAUGGUUGUCGUCAGCUCGUGUCGUGAGAUGUUGGGUUAAGUCCCGCAACGAGCGCAACCCUUACUGUUAGUUGCUACGCAAGAGCACUCUAGCAGGACUGCCGUUGACAAAACGGAGGAAGGUGGGGAUGACGUCAAAUCAUCAUGCCCCUUAUGACCUGGGCCUCACACGUACUACAAUGGCUGUCAACAGAGGGAAGCAAAGCCGCGAGGUGGAGCGAACCCCUAAAAGCAGUCUUAGUUCGGAUUGUAGGCUGCAACCCGCCUACAUGAAGUCGGAAUUGCUAGUAAUCGCAGAUCAGCAUGCUGCGGUGAAUACGUUCCCGGGCCUUGUACACACCGCCCGUCACGCCAUGGGAGUCGGUAACACCCGAAGCCUGUAGUCUAACCGCAAGGAGGACGCAGUCGAAGGUGGGAUUGAUGACUGGGGUGAAGUCGUAACAAGGUA